Long non-coding RNA from Suricata suricatta (meerkat), 804 nucleotides. RefSeq lists it as uncharacterized. The transcript has 5 exons. The record is from RefSeq and is a predicted model, not a curated record. Lineage: Eukaryota; Metazoa; Chordata; Mammalia; Carnivora; Herpestidae.
UGAAGAUGCAGAAGGUACUAGAAACCAGGUGGAAAGAUCUGAAGGGGAAGGGAAGGCAGACAGUGGGGAGGACACAGCUGAACUGGAAAGCACAGGCAUUCUGACUCCCACGGGUUCCACACUGGGUGAGGAAAGGAAGCCAUAAGCGUCAUGGAGAAGCAGAGUUCCCUGCGAUGCAUUGAUCAAGAGCUUCAAACGGUGAGCGAACAGAUUUGUGUUGUUUAAAGCCACCAAGUUUGUGACAGUCUGUGACAGCAGCAAUAGGAAAUGGACACGCCUCCUCCCCACAGCAUUGUGACUUUGUCACCACCUCUGUACCUCACUUUCUUCCUCUGGGAAACAAGCUGUAGUUUUCAGGGGCAAGUCCCGAGCUUGGCAUCAGGAACACGCAACUGGACCUGUCCCCAUCCCUGAUUAAGUGAGAAGAUGGCCCCGGACACAGUCCAUAAGAGUGCAAAGGCCUGAGAGCCAAACGAAGAGUCCAGCAUAUUUGCCCACCCCAUGAUACGGAACUCCUGUUUUGUGGUGAUGAUCCAAGAGACAACAAGAGAAACUGAAAAACGCUCCUGGGUUUUCAGGUCUACAUCCUCCAGAUACUCCAGCGUCGCUCGCCGGGACUUGGGCAGAAACACGUCAGUGUUGGCCAGGAGCAGUGCCAAGGCAGCCGCCCCCAGGGCCCCCGCGCCAAUGGACCACAUUCCCAUGGAGAAGCAGCUCAGAUCCUGGAGGAAAGACAUUUCUGGAGAUUGAGAGGAAGGAGAUGUUACUGCUCUCACAUCGUCAUCGAGAGAGCUGGAACCUGGU